Molecule: long non-coding RNA, 301 nt
Organism: Oreochromis aureus
Lineage: Eukaryota; Metazoa; Chordata; Actinopteri; Cichliformes; Cichlidae
Exons: 2
Source: RefSeq, a predicted model, not a curated record
GAUACACUGGUCUACUUAUAGCCCACACUACAAACACUGCUGUGUCAUUUUGUCUCUCUGUGCAGGCCAGGGCCUAUUAUAUGCCACAGCCUAAAGGCAGCAGAGUUGCAGAGGCUGGAGUGACCACUGGCUAUAUGCUUUAACCCUGUUAAAGGCAACACGUGGAGUGCAACUGGUUGUGUGGCAUAGCUGGCUCUGGCCUUGGGACUGUGUGUUUUUAUUUGAUUCAUAAAGGGUACACUGGACUGUUUUAUAUUUUAUCUCUUGAUUAUUUGUCAAUAAAUUAUCUUUUAGAAUUUUA